AUCUUGUACUCUCUAAUCAGGAUCCUGAGUACGGCCCAGCACGUGAAAUUGGGUCGGAAUCUGGGAGGACCAUCUCCCAAGGCUAAAUACUAACUAGUGACCGAUAGCGAACAAGUACCGUGAGGGAAAGGUGAAAAGAACCCCGGAAGGGGAGUGAAAUAGUUCUUGAAACCGUGUGCUUACAAGAAGUUCGAGGCCGUUAAUGGCUGAGAGCGUGCUUUUUGUAGAAUGAACCGGAGAGUUACGAUUGCGUGCAAGGUUAAGGUGCAAAGACUGGAGCCGUAGCGAAAGCGAGUCUUAAUAGGGCGAAUCAGUACGUAGUUGUAGACCCGAAACCGAGUGACCUAUCCAUGGUCAGGUUGAAGGUGGGGUAAUACCUACUGGAGGACCGAACAAGUGGGUGUUAAAAAACCCUUUGAUGAACUGUGGAUAGCGGUGAAAUUCCAAUCGAACUCGGAGAUAGCUGGUUCUAUCCGAAAUACAUUUAGGUGUAGCCUUGCAAUUAGCUUACUGGAGGUAGAGCACUAUUUGGUCUAGGGGCCCUUCAAGGGUUACCAAAAUCAGAUAAACUCCGAAUGCCAGCUAAGUAUGUGCAGGAGUCAGACGGUGAGUGAUAAGAUCCAUCGUCAAAAGGGGAACAGCCCAGAUCACCAGUUAAGGUCCCUAAAUAUAUGCUAAGUGGAAAACGUUGUGAAGGUGCAUAGACAACUAGGAGGUUGGCUCAGAAGCAGCCACCCUUUAAAGAGUGCGUAAUAGCUCACUAGUCGAGUGCUCUUGCGCGGAUAAUGUACCGGGGCUAAGCAUAUUACCGAAACUGUGGAUGCGUAAGCAUGGUAGGAUAGCGUAAUUAACGCGAUGAAGGAUGACCGUAAGGACAUGUUGGAGCGUUAACUAGUGAGAAUUCCGGUAUGAGUAGCGAAAGAUAGGUGAGAAUCCUAUCCACCGAAUGAGUAAGGUUUCCCCCGGAAGGCUCGUCCGCGGGGGGUUAGUCGGGACCUAAGGCGAGGCUGAAAAGCGUAGUCGAUGGACAACAGGUUGAUAUUCCUGUACCGAUAUUUAAUUGCCGAAGGAAGGACGCAGAAGGAUAACACAGGCCACUAUUGGAUGUGGUUUUAAACAGUUAGUCUUCAUAAGAGUCAAAUGCUUUUAUGUUUAAGGAUAAGCUGUGAAUGUACCAAGUUUACUUGGAAAUUGUGUGAUUUCACGCUGCUGAAAAAAGUUUCGUAGGAAGAAAAUAUUGCCCGUACCGCAAACCGACACAGGUACUCAAGUGGAGAACACUAAGGUGAGCGAGUGAACUAUUGUUAAGGAACUCUGCAAAAUGAGUCCGUAACUUCGGAAGAAGGACUGCUGGUUUUAUACCAGCCGCAGCAAAUAGGCCCAAACAACUGUUUAUCAAAAACACAGGUUUCUGCAAAAUCGUAAGAUGAAGUAUAGGGGCUGACGCCUGCCCAGUGCUGGAAGGUUAAAAGGAGGACUUAGCUUCGGCGAAGGUCUUAAUUGAAGCCCCAGUGAACGGCGGCCGUAACUAUAACGGUCCUAAGGUAGCGAAAUUCCUUGU
RNAcentral lists this ribosomal RNA (1561 nucleotides) under Oenococcus oeni. Its description in RNAcentral is "bacterial LSU rRNA". It matches the Rfam family "Bacterial large subunit ribosomal RNA", at positions 384 to 1972 of the family's 2925-position model. The record is from RNAcentral. Lineage: Bacteria; Bacillati; Bacillota; Bacilli; Lactobacillales; Lactobacillaceae.